RNAcentral lists this ribosomal RNA (497 nucleotides) under uncultured bacterium. RNAcentral describes it as "partial 16S ribosomal RNA". It matches the Rfam family "Bacterial small subunit ribosomal RNA", at positions 28 to 507 of the family's 1533-position model. The record is from RNAcentral.
GAUGAACGCUGGCGGCGUGCCUAAUACAUGCAAGUCGAGCGAACGGACGAGAAGCUUGCUUCUCUGAUGUUAGCGGCGGACGGGUGAGUAACACGUGGAUAACCUACCUAUAAGACUGGGAUAACUUCGGGAAACCGGAUCUAAUACCGGAUAAUAUUUUGAACCGCAUGGUUCAAAAGUGAAAGACGGUCUUGCCGUCACUUAUAGAUGGAUCCGCGCUGCAUUAGCUAGUUGGUAAGGUAACGGCUUACCAAGGCAACGAUGCAUAGCCGACCUGAGAGGGUGAUCGGCCACACUGGAACUGAGACACGGUCCAGACUCCUACGGGAGGCAGCAGUAGGGAAUCUUCCGCAAUGGGCGAAAGCCUGACGGAGCAACGCCGCGUGAGUGAUGAAGGUCUUCGGAUCGUAAAACUCUGUUAUUAGGGAAGAACAUAUGUGUAAGUAACUGUGCACAUCUUGACGGUACCUAAUCAGAAAGCCACGGCUAACUACGUG